This 450-nucleotide ribosomal RNA is filed under the name uncultured bacterium. Its description in RNAcentral is "partial 16S ribosomal RNA". It matches the Rfam family "Bacterial small subunit ribosomal RNA", at positions 338 to 795 of the family's 1533-position model. The record is from RNAcentral.
CCUACGGGGGGCUGCAGUAAGGAAUAUUGGUCAAUGGACGAAAGUCUGAACCAGCCAUGCCGCGUGGAGGAUGAAGGUCCUCUGGAUUGUAAACUUCUUUUAUAUGGGACGAAAAAAGGCCUUUCUAGGUCGUCUGACGGUACCAUAUGAAUAAGCACCGGCUAACUCCGUGCCAGCAGCCGCGGUAAUACGGAGGGUGCAAGCUUUAUCCGGAUUAACGGGGUUGUAAGGGGGUUGAGGAGUCUUGGGAGAAAUCCCCGAGCUUAACUUGGGAACUGCCAUUGAUACUAUCAGUCUUGAAUACCGUGGAGGUCAGCGGAAUAUGUCAUGUAGCGGUGAAAUGCUUAGAUAUGACAUAGAACACCAAUUGCGAAGGCAGCUGGCUACCCGAAUAUUGACACUGAGGCACGAAAGCGUGGGGAUCAAACAGGAUUAGAUACCCUUGUAGUC